Molecule: ribosomal RNA, 751 nt
Filed under: uncultured Campylobacterales bacterium
Lineage: Bacteria; Pseudomonadati; Campylobacterota; Epsilonproteobacteria; Campylobacterales
Description: bacterial SSU rRNA
Rfam family: Bacterial small subunit ribosomal RNA
Source: RNAcentral
UCAGAGUGAACGCUGGCGGCGUGCCUAAUACAUGCAAGUCGAACGAUGAAGUCCUAGCUUGCUAGGAUGGAUUAGUGGCGCACGGGUGAGUAAUAUAUAGUUAAUCUGCCCUACACAGAGGAACAACAGUUGGAAACGACUGCUAAUACCUCAUACUCCUAUUUGACAUAAGUUAAAUAGGGAAAGUCUUUUCGGUGUAGGAUGAGACUAUAUCGUAUCAGCUAGUUGGUAAGGUAAUGGCUUACCAAGGCUAUGACGCGUAACUGGUCUGAGAGGAUGAUCAGUCACAUUGGAACUGAGACACGGUCCAAACUCCUACGGGAGGCAGCAGUAAGGAAUAUUGCGCAAUGGGGGAAACCCUGACGCAGCAACGCCGCGUGGAGGAUGACACUUUUCGGAGCGUAAACUCCUUUUAUCAGGAAAGAAUAAUGACGGUACCUGAUGAAUAAGCACCGGCUAACUCCGUGCCAGCAGCCGCGGUAAUACGGGGGGUGCAAGCGUUACUCGGAAUCACUGGGCGUAAAGGACGCGUAGGCGGAUUAUCAAGUCCUUUGUGAAAUCUAGUGGCUUAACCACUAAACUGCUUAGGAAACUGAUAGUCUAGAGUAGGGGAGAGGUAGAUGGAAUUCUUGGUGUAGGGGUAAAAUCCGUAGAGAUCAAGAAGAAUACCCAUUGCGAAAGCGAUCUGCUGGAACCUAACUGACGCUGAGGCGUGAAAGCGUGGGUAGCAAACAGGAUUAGAUACCUGGUA